This 72-nucleotide transfer RNA is filed under the name Oryctolagus cuniculus (rabbit). It matches the Rfam family "tRNA". Rfam says of the family: Transfer RNA (tRNA) molecules are approximately 80 nucleotides in length. Lineage: Eukaryota; Metazoa; Chordata; Mammalia; Lagomorpha; Leporidae. The record is from Rfam by way of RNAcentral.
GGCGCUGUGGCGUACCAGGUAAAGUGGCUGCCUCCAGUGCCGGCAUCCUGGGUUCAAGUCCCAGCUGCUCCA